AAUUUUGGACAAUGGGGGAAACCCUGAUCCAGCCAUCCCGCGUGUAUGAUGAAGGCCUUCGGGUUGUAAAGUACUUUUGGCAGAGAAGAAAAGGUAUCCCCUAAUACGGGAUACUGCUGACGGUAUCUGCAGAAUAAGCACCGGCUAACUACGUGACAGCAGCCGCGGGAAUACGUAGGGUCGAAGCGUUAAGCGGAAUUACUGGGCGUAAAGCGUGUGUAGGCGGUUCGGAAAGAAAGAUGGAAAAUCCCAGGGGUAAACCUUGGAACUGCAUUUUUAACUGCCGAGCUAGAGUAUGUCAGAGGGUGGUGGAAUUCCACGUGUAGCAGUGAAAUGCGUAGAUAUGUGGAGGAAUACCAAUGGCGAAGGCAGCCCCCUGGGAUAAUACUGACGCUCAGACACGAAAGCGUGGGGAGCAAACAGG
This 424-nucleotide ribosomal RNA is filed under the name uncultured bacterium. Its description in RNAcentral is "partial 16S ribosomal RNA". It matches the Rfam family "Bacterial small subunit ribosomal RNA", at positions 360 to 776 of the family's 1533-position model. The record is from RNAcentral.